CCUACGGGAGGCAGCAGUGAGGAAUAUUGGUCAAUGGCCGGAAGGCUGAACCAGCCAUGCCGCGUGAAGGUCAGUGCCCUAUGGGCGUUAAACUUCUUUUGUGCGGGAGCAAUAAUGGUCACGUGUGGACAGACGAGCGUACUGUCCGAAUAAGCAUCGGCUAACUCCGUGCCAGCAGCCGCGGUAAUACGGGGGGUGCAAGCGUUAUCCGGAUUUAUUGGGUUUAAAGGUGCGUAGGCUGUGAGGUAAGUCAGCGGUGAAAUGCCUACGCUCAACGGGGUGAAGUGCCAUUGAUACUGCCAUGCUGGAAUGCGGAGGCCGUGGGAGGAAUGUGUGGUGUAGCGGUGAAAUGCAUAGAUAUCACAAAGAACACCGAUUGCGAAGGCAUCUCACGAAUCCGCGAUUGACGCUGAUGCACGAAAGCGUGGGUAUCAAACAGGAUUAGAUACCCGAGUAGUC
This 459-nucleotide ribosomal RNA is filed under the name uncultured bacterium. RNAcentral describes it as "partial 16S ribosomal RNA". It matches the Rfam family "Bacterial small subunit ribosomal RNA", at positions 338 to 795 of the family's 1533-position model. The record is from RNAcentral.